UCGGCCCCGGCAAGAUGGCGGCCCCCUUGGAGCUCAGCUGCUGGGGAGGUGGCUGGGGGCUCCCUUCGGUGCACAGCGAGUCCCUGGUGGUGCUGGCGUAUGCCAAGUUUUCUGGCGCACCCUUGAAAGUCAAUGUCAUAGAUAACACCUGGAGAGGUCCAAGAGGUGAUGUGCCAAUUUUGAUGACUGAAGACAGCGUUGUCUCUCAGCCUGCAAAAAUACUAAACUUUUUAAGAAAACAGAAAUAUAAUGCUGACUGUGAACUCUCAGCAAAACAAGGGGCAGACACCCUGGCUUAUAUCGCCCUCCUGGAAGAGAAGCUUCUCCCUGCCGUGCUUCACACUUUCUGGGUUGAGAAUGACAAUUAUUUUGCUGUGACAAAGCCAUGGUUUGCCUCCCGUAUCCCUUUCCCUCUGAGUUUAAUCCUGCCUGGAAGGAUGUCUAGAGGCGCACUGAAUAGGAUCCUCUUGACACGGGGAGAGCCGCCCCUCUACCACAUCCAGGAAGUAGAAGCGCAGAUAUACAGAGAUGCCAAGGAGUGCCUCAACCUCCUGUCAAACAGAUUGGGAACAUCUCAGUUCUUCUUUGGUGACAUGCCUUCCACCUUGGACGCCUACGUGUUUGGUUUCCUCGCACCUCUGUAUAAAGUGCGUUUUCCCAAAGUUCACUUACAAGAGCAUCUGAAACAGCUCUCUAAUCUCUGCCGCCUGUGUGACGACAUCCUGGACAUCUACUUCAGACAUGGGCCCGCGGCACUCUCCCCCUGAACAGAAAUCAGCAGCAGAUUGACUUUGGUGAGGUCACCCCCAUGAUUCUACUACUUGAAAAUGAUUGCACCAAACUGGAGAUAGAGUAAGUAGAGGGCUCUUGGCACUUAGGAUGGCGUUCUCUCUGACUGGGGGCCUUGCGCUUAGGGGACCGGGCACUGAGUGUGUAUAUGUAGAGGUGGCUGCAGUGUUUGUCCUUCUGAGAAACAGAAGUUGUGAGAUAGCAGGCUUCAACAGACUGGCUAUUUUUUAUUUUUAUUUUAUUUAUUUUUUACGGAGGAUUCUCUGCUUUACAUAUAGGGAAGUCUAGAAAAUGGGAAGUUAGGGAACUAAGUGGCAUCUGACCUUGAUGCUCUGGGGCAGUGGCUAGCCAGCCUGGCUCCACAGCUCUUCCAUAGUUGCCAAAUUAAAAUGUCUUGGGAUCAAUCCCAGAAAGCUCUGCUUUUAAAAAUUCCUUUCAAUAUCUUGGAUGCCUGGUGAGUAGGUGUUAGGGAAUCGCUACCUUAGCAAGAUGUCUAUAGUGUUACAACCAGUGACCUACGUGUAGUGACUAGGGAGAGGGCACUGUAGUCUGGAGAGCACCGCGCCUUCACUAACCCCUGUAGCUGCCUGCAUGUCAUGUGGCUCGGUGUCUUCCAAGAGCACAGUUCAGUGUUUUCCUUUCUGCUUUCCUAUGGAGCACUGCUGUCCCUCUUAACUUUGCCCUUGAACCCAUAAUAUUUUUCAUUUUCAGUUUUCUUUUGGGGGGAGGGGGAGCAAUUAGGAUUGUGGGUAAACUGAAUUUUUUUUUCCAAUCUUCAACAGCUUGAAAGUCUUUCCAAGUUUGGUUUCUCUCCCUGAUUUCUCUCCUGACUUCUCAGGCAUCUCUCCAGCUGGACAAGAAAUGAUAGAUGCGAACCUGCGGAAACUCACACAACUUGUAAAUAAGGAAUCCAACUUAAUUGAAAAGAUGGAUGACAAUCUCCGCCAGAGCCCUCAGCUUCUU
Non-coding RNA from Myodes glareolus (Bank vole), 1752 nucleotides. Lineage: Eukaryota; Metazoa; Chordata; Mammalia; Rodentia; Cricetidae. The record is from RefSeq and is a predicted model, not a curated record.